Dromiciops gliroides (monito del monte) is the source of this 567-nucleotide long non-coding RNA. RefSeq lists it as uncharacterized. The transcript is spliced from 4 exons. The record is from RefSeq and is a predicted model, not a curated record. NCBI's taxonomy places the organism in Eukaryota, Metazoa, Chordata, Mammalia, Microbiotheria, Microbiotheriidae.
GAGCCUUAGAAGCCAAGUGAAAGGAGCCCCAGCAGGCUGGGGGCGCUUGGGGGCCAGGGGAGGACGACGCCUGCAGAGUCCGGAGAUGGAACUUGGAGGGGAAGUUCAGGAGGAAGAGUAUUCCAGGCCUGGGGAGCGGUCAGUCACAAUACCCAAAGCUGAAAGAUGAUGGAUCUACUUUGAAUAACAGCAAUGAGUUCAGUACCACCAAAAGGAGGAAGAAGAGGAGGAGCAGGAGGAAGAGGAGGAAGAGGAAGAAGAUGAUGCCCAACUGGUGACAUUCUCCUCUGCACAGGAUAAUGGAGACCUGUAGAUGGGAGGAGGGACUCCUCAUCUUUGCUGAAGGUCUCUGAGCAGGUCAGGAGACCACUAUAUCUGGGGUAGAAGAAACGUGGACAUGGGAGGCUCAGGCAUCAGGAGAGAAGCUGCAGUCCUACAAGGCAAAGACGAAUCUUCGCUCUGGGGUGAUAAUGGUGACGCCGGCCUUCCAGCGGUUCCCCCGGAUGCCCUUGGGCAGCUCAUCAUGGAUCUCAUACCCAUGCUCCUUGCUCCCGAUGAAAACCUGAC